UACGGGAGGGCAGCAGUGGGGAAUAUUGCACAAUGGGCGCAAGCCUGAUGCAGCCAUGCCGCGUGUAUGAAGAAGGCCUUCGGGUUGUAAAGUACUUUCAGUCGUGAGGAAGGUGUUAAGGUUAAUAACCUUAGCAAUUGACGUUAGCGACAGAAGAAGCACCGGCUAACUCCGUGCCAGCAGCCGCGGUAAUACGGAGGGUGCGAGCGUUAAUCGGAAUUACUGGGCGUAAAGGGCACGCAGGCGGUUAAUUAAGUUGGAUGUGAAAUCCCCGGGCUUAACCUGGGAAUGGCAUUCAAGACUGGUUAGCUAGAGUCUUGUAGAGGGGGUAGAAUUCCAUGUGUAGCGGUGAAAUGCGUAGAGAUGUGGAGGAAUACCGGUGGCGAAGGCGGCCCCUGGACAAAGACUGACGCUCAUGUGCGAAAGCGUGGGGAGCAAAC
Molecule: ribosomal RNA, 440 nt
Filed under: uncultured bacterium
Lineage: Bacteria
Description: bacterial SSU rRNA
Rfam family: Bacterial small subunit ribosomal RNA
Source: RNAcentral